This 478-nucleotide long non-coding RNA is filed under the name Vigna radiata. RNAcentral's name for it is "long non-coding RNA (VRAD_LNC014330)". The record is from RNAcentral. Lineage: Eukaryota; Viridiplantae; Streptophyta; Magnoliopsida; Fabales; Fabaceae.
AUCUUAACCUUAGGGAAUUUUGGAGCUUUGGAAUUGUUUUGGGAAUAAGUGUGGUCUCCUGGGGAUUCUGAUGAAUGGGCUAGUUGGUUCCUCUUCUUGUUUUUGGUUUUGUAAACAUGUUGUGUAUCUUGUCUCUUAGAGUUGUGUUCUAAAAAGAGAGAAAAGAAAAGAGACAAGAUUGAAAAAAAGAAAGAAAAAAAAUUUAUAGAAAAAUGAGAAAAAUUAAAAAAAUUGUGAAUAAAGGAGUCAGGAAGAGGAUGGAAUUAGAGGUUUGAUUGUGUUUGAAUGUGUUUACACUUGUUCCCCAUUGCUCCUCUAUUUCCUUUGGUUUGUAGCUUCUCAUCCAUAUUAUACAUUCCCUUAUCCUUGGUCCCAUUUCAUCCAUAAAGACCUUUUGAUUUGAAUAUGCAUAUGUGCUUGAGUGUUGAUAUUAUAGGCUUGCCAAGUCUAUUUGUGUUUGCUUUCUUGAGUGCAUUGA